Medicago truncatula (barrel medic) is the source of this 502-nucleotide long non-coding RNA. RefSeq lists it as uncharacterized. The record is from RefSeq and is a predicted model, not a curated record. Lineage: Eukaryota; Viridiplantae; Streptophyta; Magnoliopsida; Fabales; Fabaceae. The transcript is spliced from 3 exons.
GGAUUUAUUGCAAUUCCAAAGUAUUAAAAACUAUUUAAAUGAAGUAAGCAUACCAUCAAAUGUUUUAAAUUAUAAACUGAUCAAAUAAUAUGACUGCAAUUUUCAAGUUUGUGUAUGCUAUGACAUUUUUUAUUUCUCUAUUUCUUGCUCUAGUUCAUGUCGAUGCAUUUGGUGGUCUUUGUGUAACUGAUGCUGCUUGUCCACAACUUUUUUGUUCUCCUAAAACUGCGAAGUGUAUUUUUUUCGAUUGUCACUGUGUUUGACAGAUUACACAAAAAAUAUGGUCAUGAAUAGCGAUCAGCGGAGCUUUGCUAAUGAGAGAAGAUAAAGACAUGUAUUGUGGGUUUUUUCUUUUUAAUCGUUAUGAAAUAUUUGUACGACUCCAAUAUUAUUAUAUAGGGAUCUAGACUAUUUUCUGUUGUUAUUUGUUUUACUCUCGAGUUUGUAAGCUUGUGCUUUAAAACAUGAAAACAAAUGCAUAAGAUGCAUAUCUUACGUACAA